AAGGUACUGUGAAUACAAAAAUAAUACAGUAAUAUAUAAUAGGUUGAGAAACCCGUUUUUCAGACUUUGAUGCCUUUUCUUCAUUUGGAGUUAUUCUUACAGCCCUGAAGAAUGUGCUUUGUGACACAGUCUUCUCUGUUUGUCUUUUCAGGAUACUAAAUCAGAGUGCAAUUCCUGUGUAGAAACUGAGGACAGAAAAUACAACACUAUAACAUCACCAGAUACACUUGUCUACCCUCAUCAGCUUAAGGUUCUCUUGCUUCAGACCUGAAAACUUUGAAUCAGAAGUAAGUAUAUUCUCAAAAUUUCAUUUCAAAUAUACUUUCUAAAGUCAGACUGUUACAUCUGCUUCUACAAUUUUUGCGUUCUGCAACUGGCAGUAUUUUUUGUCUAGCCACUUUAUUAUAGUUCUUCUCCUCCCAAUCCUCUUCACACCUUCAAAAUGUCUUCCCAAGCCUGAAUUCAGUUAGCUUUAUUUUUAUUGAAGUUCACUAUAAAUAA
Molecule: long non-coding RNA, 501 nt
Filed under: Anser cygnoides (Swan goose)
Lineage: Eukaryota; Metazoa; Chordata; Aves; Anseriformes; Anatidae
Description: lncRNA (ENSACDG00005004148.1)
Source: RNAcentral